UAAAACAUGAAAACAUAACUUCAAAUGAUGAAAUUGACAGAAAUUAACAGCAAAUUGAAACCAUUCCAAAAGAAUUGGAUUGACCGGCAAGGAAACGGAACAAGAACUGGAAGAUGAGCAUCGAAGCAUUGGAAAAGACACCAGACAGCAGCCCUUUACCUUGGCCUCUAAAUUAGCGAUGUUUCAGUCUUUGGCUGCAUAUGACACGUUGACGUUUAUCAACUUCAAGCACCAUAUACCACGGAGGAGAAAACACAUUCUUUCAUUGAUACUUCUUGAUGUGUCGACCACCCAAAUUACUUGAAAAUACACAACCAAUGCUGCUCUUUUAGCCCCCCGUGAUCAAAAGAAACUGUUAAAAAUAUGGAUUUAAGUCGACGUCCCCAUCCCACAAAGGAUAUAUGCUCGCGUAGUUACGAUGCUGGGAGGCUUCACAGUUUGGAUCGAAGGAUGGAGCGAGUGGUGUGCCCAGCAUCGACGAGUGCCAGCAGCACCUUUCGGAUAUCUAUGGAAGAGAUUCUACCGGUAUGGCAGACCAAAA
Populus euphratica (Euphrates poplar) is the source of this 541-nucleotide long non-coding RNA. RefSeq lists it as uncharacterized. The record is from RefSeq and is a predicted model, not a curated record. The transcript is spliced from 2 exons. Lineage: Eukaryota; Viridiplantae; Streptophyta; Magnoliopsida; Malpighiales; Salicaceae.